UUUUUCAAAACAUGUCCUUUUGAUUAUUUAAUUUAAGGUCUGUCCUGCCCAAUGAUUUAUUAUUUAAUGGCCGCAGUAUUCUAACUGUGCGAAGGUAGCAUAAUCACUUGUUUUUUAAUUGGGAACUAGUAUGAAUGGUCUGAUGAGGGAUUAACUUUCUUUAUUAUAUAUUUAAAAACUUAAUUUAUGAGUCAAAAAGCUUAUAUUUAUUUAAGGGACGAGAAGACCCUAUAGAGCUUUAAUAAUAUUAUUAUAUCUCUUAUUUAUUUAAUUUAUAUUAGAUACAAUAGUAUUAUUUUUGUUGGGGUGACAGUUAAAUUAAAUAAACUUUAACUUAAUUUUAUUUCAUAAAUAUAUGAUUAGUAUUGAUCCAUUAUUAAUGAGUAUAAGACUAAGCUACCUUAGGGAUAACAGCGUAAUUUUACUGGAAAGUACAUAUUGAUAGUAGAGUUUGCGACCUCGAUGUUGGAUUAAAAUAUGUAUUGGGUGCAGAAGUUCAAUAACUGAGUCUGUUCGACUUAUAAUAUUUUACAUGAUCUAUUUUUC
This 546-nucleotide ribosomal RNA is filed under the name Nabis viridulus. RNAcentral describes it as "partial large subunit ribosomal RNA". It matches the Rfam family "Bacterial large subunit ribosomal RNA", at positions 1804 to 2613 of the family's 2925-position model. Lineage: Eukaryota; Metazoa; Arthropoda; Insecta; Hemiptera; Nabidae. The record is from RNAcentral.